Molecule: long non-coding RNA, 485 nt
Filed under: Physcomitrium patens
Lineage: Eukaryota; Viridiplantae; Streptophyta; Bryopsida; Funariales; Funariaceae
Description: long non-coding RNA (PPAT_LNC010325)
Source: RNAcentral
GUAUUGUACUUACAUAUCACUAAUCCAAAACAGGUGCUGGUGUGGAGGUGAUGUUCGAGGAUCGAGGAAAAGUGAAAGCAUUUGUUGAUGCUCAACAAGUUGAGAAAGUAAUACGCAUGUCGUUUAUGGUACCCACUCUUAUCAAGUCUCUAUUAAGAGAGUAAUAACUUUUUGUCAUAUUUGUAAAACCAUCAUCUCUUAAACAAAUCUCCAUGUGAAAGACAUGAACACGUGCACAUGAGAUGAGAGCUGGAAUAAGGUUGAGAUAAGAGCUGGUGACUAAGCUGGGCGAGGAGGCCGGGAAUGGAUGGGAAAAGAGGAAGCGGGGGUUGAGAACUAGAGAAGUUGGAAUGAAAGUUGGGAACAAAGGGAGCAGGGGCUAUGAACAAAGAGGGUGUUGACACGAUGGGUACAAUGGGGCUGAAUCGCUUUAGCAAAAGUCAGGGUUGCUUUAUUAUUCUUCCAUCUACAUAUAUAUAUAUAUA